RNAcentral lists this long non-coding RNA (238 nucleotides) under Phoenix dactylifera (date palm). Its description in RNAcentral is "long non-coding RNA (PDAC_LNC019813)". The record is from RNAcentral. Lineage: Eukaryota; Viridiplantae; Streptophyta; Magnoliopsida; Arecales; Arecaceae.
UUCUUUUAAAAAUAAAUCAACAAAAAGGAUUUGCUAACUUGAUUUAACUAAAUCAAACUAUGAGUACGGAUUGAAAUUUUAUCAAAGUAAAUAGAUCUAGGGUUUGGAAUCCACCACAUAGCAUUGCAUCAAGGAUUGUGUUCUUAAUCUUAUCUUUUGGAGAGGCAUGCAAUUUUGGCUACAAGCCUUAUAAAAUAAAAGCAUAAAGAGUUUUAGGAAGAUCCAUCUUCGGUAUAGC